This 473-nucleotide ribosomal RNA is filed under the name uncultured bacterium. Its description in RNAcentral is "partial 16S ribosomal RNA". It matches the Rfam family "Bacterial small subunit ribosomal RNA", at positions 28 to 507 of the family's 1533-position model. The record is from RNAcentral.
GGUGAACGCUGGCGGCGUGCCUAAGACAUGCAAGUCGAGCGGGCCGCGGGGGUUUACUCCGUGGUCAGCGGCGGACGGGUGAGUAACGCGUGGGUGACCUACCCGGAAGAGGGGGACAACCCGGGGAAACUCGGGCUAAUCCCCCAUGUGGACCCGCCCCUUGGGGUGUGUCCAAAGGGCUGUGCCCGCUUCCGGAUGGGCCCGCGUCCCAUCAACUCGUUGGUGGGGUAAUGGCCCACCAAGGCGACGACGGGUAGCCGGCCUGAGAGGGUGGCCGGCCAGAGGGGCACGGAGCCACGGGCCCGACUCCCACGGGAGGCAGCAGCUAGGAAUCUUCGGCAAUGGGCGCAAGCCUGACGGAGCGACGCCGCUUGGAGGAAGAAGGCGUUCGGGGUGUACCCUCCUGAACCCGGGACGAAACCCCCGAGGAGGGGACUGCCGGUACCGGGGUAAUAGCGCCGGCCAACUCCGUG